AAGGACAGAGGAGAGACAACAAUGCUGUGUGUCAUGCCAACUCUUAAUCGCGGUGUGGGAGGUUGGUGAAGAGGUGGUGGUGGCAAUUUAUGGCCUAAGGUUGGUGAAGAGGUGGUGGUGGCAAUUUAUGGCCUAAGGUUGGUGAAGAGGUGGUGGUGGCCUUUAUGGCCUAAGGUUGGUGAAGAGGUGGUGGUGGCCUUUAUGGCCGGAGGUUGGUAAAGAGGUGGUGUUGGUCUUUAUGGCCGGAGGUUGGUGAAGAGGUGGUGGUGGCCUUUAUGGCCGGAGGUUGGUGAAGAGAUGGUGGUGGCCUUUAUGGCCGGCAG
This is a long non-coding RNA of Esox lucius (northern pike), 323 nucleotides long. NCBI's taxonomy places the organism in Eukaryota, Metazoa, Chordata, Actinopteri, Esociformes, Esocidae. The record is from Ensembl.